CGUGCGAGUAGUUGAAAAGAGUGGAUCAGAGCAUAAAUUAGAAGUGCUAAGCAGAUUAUUUGGGCUCAAAUCUGUGUAGUUGCCUAAGACUCCGCCUCCCCUGUUUAGCAAAGGUGAGGCAUUUGUGGUUGUAGUAGUAGUUGCCUGAUUCUCAAGGAACCCAAUUUCGCCCAAAUCAAAAUCAUGCUCUAAAGGGUUAGAGACUACGUUAAGGAGUGAAGAUAAGGUAGGCUUUGAGUGCAUAAAAUAGUGCACCUGAGAUGGGUCUAGAUUGUUGAAAACAGAGGAGUUUGGUGAGCAAGAAGAGGAGGAAUCCACAGGGUGAAGCAACAGAUUAUCAGGGUCAGUAAGAUUUGGUGAAAAUGUGAUAUCUCUGAUGGUAUCUUGAUGAUUGUGGAUAGUACUAUUUGUAACGUACCAGUCUUCUUCUACUUCGAGCAUGGAUUUGAAGGUAGAAAGGGAACCCAUCUCUUCCUUGCUCUCCAUCACAUCACAGCUAUUGCUAAUGUUAUUGUUGUUUGCGGUGGAUUCUUGCGCUUCUUUAUCUUCCGUCCAGACACUGCCAUUUAGUCCAGAGAGCAUUUUCGUUUCUGGAUUUCUGUUAUAUUUUCUCUGGAAAGUGAGGGAAGUAAAACAAAUUGUAGAGAAAAAGAUGAGAUAAAGAGUAGGAUUGAAGGAGAGAGAGAGAGUGGACGUUGCAGGAGGGAAAGGGAAAUGGCUUUCUGUUG
Molecule: unclassified non-coding RNA, 728 nt
Filed under: Hevea brasiliensis (rubber tree)
Lineage: Eukaryota; Viridiplantae; Streptophyta; Magnoliopsida; Malpighiales; Euphorbiaceae
Source: RNAcentral